This 483-nucleotide unclassified non-coding RNA is filed under the name Hevea brasiliensis (rubber tree). The record is from RNAcentral. Lineage: Eukaryota; Viridiplantae; Streptophyta; Magnoliopsida; Malpighiales; Euphorbiaceae.
AAAAAUUCGAAAGUUCCUACUUCCCCAGACAUCAUUGUCAUCGAUAUGGUAAGACAUUAAGCAACACCUUAUCCAGGGUGGAUUUCUAAAAUGAUCAUUCAUUUCACUAUCAUCAUCGCCUUCAGAAGUUCCAAGCAACAAAUUCCUCUUUUUUGUUAAUGUAUAAACAGAGGGGUAGCCGUCAAAAAACUUUUCCGCAUCCUCUUUAUACAGAUAUGCAUGGAUUCUUGUAGUUGGAUCCUCUAGGGUCAACCUGAUCCUAUAAACCCCAGAAGGGGAACGGAAAUGUUCAGCUAGCCAAGGAAAUGCCGCUACCACUCGAACUACACAGUGGAAUUUACCUAUGACCUUUGGAUUAGCCAGAGCUCUCAUCAAGGAGACAAAAGGUACAUUAGGGUAGUCAGUCUCUGUUAUGUCAGAUGGCCAAGGAAAGCUUGACGAAGGCAUCCAUCCCAAUUUGGAUUUACGACGCUCAUCGUACUG